RNAcentral lists this ribosomal RNA (907 nucleotides) under uncultured bacterium. RNAcentral describes it as "bacterial SSU rRNA". It matches the Rfam family "Bacterial small subunit ribosomal RNA", at positions 33 to 906 of the family's 1533-position model. The record is from RNAcentral.
ACGCUGGCGGCGUGCGUAACACAUGCAAGUCGAACGAGAGAGAGAGAGAAGCUUGCUUUUCUUACGAUCGAGUGGCAAACGGGUGAGUAACGCGUAAACAACCUGCCCCGCAGAUGGGGACAACAGCUGGAAACGGCUGCUAAUACCGAACACGCUCCUCUUAGCGCAUGGUAAGAGGAAGAAAGGGUGGCCUCUGGAACAAGCUACCGCUGCGGGAGGGGUUUGCGUCUGAUUAGCUGGUUGGAGGGGUAACGGCCCACCAAGGCGACGAUCAGUAGCCGGUCUGAGAGGAUGAACAGCCACAUUGGAACUGAGACACGGUCCAGACUCCUACGGGAGGCAGCAGUGGGGAAUCUUCCGCAAUGGGCGAAAGCCUGACGGAGCAACGCCGCGUGAGUGAAGACGGCCUUCGGGUUGUAAAGCUCUGUUAUAGGGGACGAACGGCCGGGUAGCGAAGAGGUACCCGGCAUGACGGUACCGUAAGAGAAAGCCACGGCUAACUACGUGCCAGCAGCCGCGGUAAUACGUAGGUGGCAAGCGUUGUCCGGAAUGAUUGGGCGUAAAGGGCGCGCAGGCGGCUGUGUAAGUCUGUCCAGAAAGUGCGGGGCUAAACCCCGUGAGAGGAUGGAAACUGGACAGCUGAGAGUGUCGGAGAGGAAAGCGGAAUUCCUAGUGUAGCGGUGAAAUGCGUAGAUAUUAGGAGGAACACCGGUGGCGAAAGCGGCUUUCUGGACGACAACUGACGCUGAGGCGCGAAAGCCAGGGGAGCAAACGGGAUUAGAUACCCCGGUAGUCCUGGCCGUAAACGAUGGGUACUAGGUGUAGGAGGUAUCGACCCCUCCUGUGCCGGAGUUAACGCAAUAAGUACCCCGCCUGGGGAGUACGGCCGCAAGGCUGAAACUCAAAC